GUGUUCACGCAGCAGUAGUGUCUUCGCCAGCAAGGUCAAUCCAAGGUAUGAUAUUUGCUCACUGAAAACUGUUGCAAUAUACUUCCCUCAUGAUUAGAAGUACAGUCAGCACCGGCAAUUUUUGACGACCUCUAAGGAGA
Non-coding RNA from Cathartes aura (turkey vulture), 140 nucleotides. Lineage: Eukaryota; Metazoa; Chordata; Aves; Accipitriformes; Cathartidae. The record is from Rfam.